This 446-nucleotide ribosomal RNA is filed under the name uncultured bacterium. RNAcentral describes it as "partial 16S ribosomal RNA". It matches the Rfam family "Bacterial small subunit ribosomal RNA", at positions 338 to 795 of the family's 1533-position model. The record is from RNAcentral.
CCUACGGGUGGCAGCAGUCGAGAAUCAUUCACAAUGGGGGAAACCCUGAUGGUGCGACGCCGCGUGGGGGAAUGAAGGUCUUCGGAUUGUAAACCCCUGUCAUGUGGGAGCAAAUUAAAAAGAUAGUACCACACGAGGAAGAGACUGCUAACUCUGUGCCAGCAGCCGCGGUAAUACAGAGGUCUCAAGCGUUGUUCGGAAUCACUGGGCGUAAAGCGUGCGUAGGCUGUUUCGUAAGUCGUGUGUGAAAGGCGCGGGCUCAACCCGCGGACGGCACAUGAUACUGCGAGACUAGAGUAAUGGAGGGGGAACCGGAAUGCUCGGUGUAGCAGUGAAAUGCGUAGAUAUCGAGAGGAACACUCGUGGCGAAGGCGGGUUCCUGGACAUUAACUGACGCUGAGGCACGAAGGCCAGGGGAGCGAAAGGGAUUAGAUACCCUUGUAGUC